GGUUCGAUCAUGGCUCAGAUUGAACGCUGGCGGGAUCUUUACAUGCAGGUCGAACGCUGGACUUCGGUCUGGUGGCGUGAGUGGCAGGCAGGUGAGUAAUGUAUCAGGAACGUGCCAGUAGCAGAUAACUGCAUAGCCCCAGCUAAUACCGCAUACGCCCUUCGAAGCGGGGGGACCUUCGGGCCUCGCACUAUUGAAGCAGCCGAUAUCGGAUCAGCUAGUUGGUGGGGUAACGGCUCACCAAGGCGACGAUCCGUAGCUGGUUUGAGAGGACGACCAGCCACACUGGGACUGAGACGGCCCAGACUCCUACGGGAGAGGCAGCGGUCAGGAAUUUUGGACAAUGGAAACCUGAUCCCAGCCAUCCCGCGUGUGCGAUGAAGGCCUUCGGGUUGUAAAGCACUUUUGGCAGGAAAAAGAAACGGCACGGGAUAUUACCCCGUGCAGCGUGUACCUGCAGAAUAAGCACCGGCUAACUACGUGCCAGCAGCCGCGGUAAUACGGUGCAAGCGUUAAUCGGAAUUGCACUGAAGGGCGUGCAAAGCAUUGCGCAGGCGGUUCCGGAAAGAAGAUGUAGUCGAGCUUAACUUUGGAACUGCAUUUUUAACUACCGAGCUAGGGGGUGUCAGAGGAGGUGGAAUUCCCGCGUGUAGCAGUGAAAUGCAUGUGAAUGCGCGGAAGACACCGAUGGCGAAGGCAGCCUCCUGGGAUAACACUGACGCUCUGUACACGAAAAGCGUGGGGAGCAAACAGGAUUAGAUACUCUAUUGCUGGUCCACCUAACGAUGUCAACUAGCUACUGUAGGCCUUCGGGCCUUGGCGCUAACGCGUGAAGUUGACCACCUGGGAAGGUACGGUCGCGAAGAUUAAAACUCAAAGGAAUUGACGGGGACCCGCACAAGCGGUGGAUGAUGUGGAUUAAUUCGAUGCAACGCGAAAAACCUUACCUACCCAUACUGACAUGUCUGGAAUCCCGAAGAGAUUUGGGAGUGCUCGCAAGAGAACCGGAACACAGGUGCUGCAUGGCUGUCGUCAGCUCGUGUCGUGAGAUGUUGGGUUAAGUCCCGCAACAGGCGCAACCCUUGUCAUUAGUUGCUACGAAAAGGGCACUCUAAUGAGACUGCCGGUGACAAACCGGAGGAAGGUGGGGAUGACGUCAAGUCCUCCUUGGCCCAUAUGGGUAGGGCUUCACACGUCAUACAAUGGUCAGGAUGGGGGUCGCCAACCCGCGAGGGAGCCAAUCCCAGAAACCCGAUCAUCAAAAGUCCGGAUCGCAGUCUGCAACUCGAGCUGCGUCGAAGUCGGAAUCGCUAGUAAUCGCGGAUCAGCAUGUCGCGGUGAAUACGUUCUCCCGGGUCUUGUACACACCGCCCGUCACACCAUGGGAAUUGGGUUUUACCAGAAGUAGUUAGCCUAACCGUAAGGGCGAUUACCACGGCAGGAUUCAUGACUGGGGUGAAGUCGUAUGGGGAUGG
RNAcentral lists this ribosomal RNA (1475 nucleotides) under uncultured Bordetella sp. Its description in RNAcentral is "partial 16S-23S ribosomal RNA intergenic spacer". It matches the Rfam family "Bacterial small subunit ribosomal RNA". The record is from RNAcentral. Lineage: Bacteria; Pseudomonadati; Pseudomonadota; Betaproteobacteria; Burkholderiales; Alcaligenaceae.